Molecule: ribosomal RNA, 379 nt
Filed under: uncultured eukaryote
Lineage: Eukaryota
Description: partial 18S ribosomal RNA
Rfam family: Eukaryotic small subunit ribosomal RNA
Source: RNAcentral
CAAUAGCGUAUAUUAAAGUUGUUGCGGUAAAAAAGCUCGUAGUUGGAUUUCUGUUGAGAGCGACCGGUCCAUACCAUGUAUGCGUAUCUGGCUUGCUCUCGGCAUCCUCUCGAUAGACGUUACUGCGCUUGAUUGCGUGGUGCGGAUCUCGGGACUUUUACUUUGAGGAAAUUAGAGUGUUCACGGCAGGCUUUCGCCAGAAUACAUUAGCAUGGAAUAAUACUAUAGGAUCUUGGUUCUAUUUUGUUGGUUUCUAGAAUUGAGAUAAUGAUUAAUAGGGACAAUUGGGGGCAUUCGUAUCAACACGUCAGAGGUGGAAUUCUUGGAUUGUGUUGCGACGAACUACUGCGAAAGCAUUUGCCAAGAAUGUUUUCAUUGA